This 331-nucleotide ribosomal RNA is filed under the name uncultured bacterium. RNAcentral describes it as "bacterial SSU rRNA". It matches the Rfam family "Bacterial small subunit ribosomal RNA", at positions 42 to 401 of the family's 1533-position model. The record is from RNAcentral.
UCAGACUUAACACAUGCAAGUCGAACGGGAUCUUCGGAUAUAGUGGCGGACGGGUGAGUAACGCGUGGGAACGUGCCCUUUGCUUCGGAAUAGCCCCGGGAAACUGGGAGUAAUCCCGGAUGAGCCUUACGGGGGAAAGAUUUAUCGGCAAAGGAUCGGCCCGCGUUGGAUUAGGUAGUUGGUGGGGUAAUGGCCUAUCAAGCCGACGAUCCAUAGUUGGUUUGAGAGGAUGAUCAGCCACACUGGGACUGAGACACGGCCCAGACUCCUACGGGAGGCAGCAGUGGGGAAUCUUAGAGGAUGGGCGCAAGCCUGAUCUAUCCAUGCCGCG